GAUCCUGGCUCAGGACGAACGCUGGCGGCGUGCCUAACACAUGCAAGUCGAGCGGGGAUUUAUUGCGGAAGGUUUCGGCUGGAAGGAAUAAAUUCUAGCGGCGGACGGGUGAGUAACGCGUGAACAAUCUGUCCCGGACAGGGGGAUAACACUUGGAAACAGGUGCUAAUACCGCAUAAGACCACGGCCUCGCAUGGGGCUGAGGUAAAAGGAGCAAUCCGGUUCGGGGUGAGUUCGCGUCCGAUUAGCUAGUUGGUGAGG
This 261-nucleotide ribosomal RNA is filed under the name uncultured bacterium. Its description in RNAcentral is "partial 16S ribosomal RNA". It matches the Rfam family "Bacterial small subunit ribosomal RNA", at positions 15 to 257 of the family's 1533-position model. The record is from RNAcentral.